Molecule: non-coding RNA, 195 nt
Organism: Vicia faba (fava bean)
Lineage: Eukaryota; Viridiplantae; Streptophyta; Magnoliopsida; Fabales; Fabaceae
Source: the annotation of a GenBank genome assembly
AUGUUGAGUGUCAAGAAAAUGUGUUUGGUUGUAAUUUAUUCCUUUUUAUAUACUUAUAUCAAGCAAAAGGCUUUAAAAUUUUGUUUUUGUUUCCUGAAUAUUAACCGGACAACAACCCUUUUCAUUUUGAUGCUCUGCUUUGUUUCAAAACCAAAGAAACACAUUUGCUUAAAAUUAAAAUGCUUUAGAAAAUGA